UUUAUACUCCCUCCAUCUGAAAAAGUUUGUCCCUCAAAUGGAUGUAUCUAACACCAAGUUAGUGCUAGAUACAUCCAUUUGAGGGACAAACUUUUUCAGAUGCAGAGGGUAGUUU
Molecule: non-coding RNA, 115 nt
Organism: Triticum aestivum (bread wheat)
Lineage: Eukaryota; Viridiplantae; Streptophyta; Magnoliopsida; Poales; Poaceae
Source: Rfam